GUCAAGUUGAAGCACGGGUUAAGGAUGCCUAAACAGCCUAUUUUUUUAAUGGCCUAUAAAAGGCCUAAAUCUUUUUUUCUCUCUCUCUUUCUUUUCCCUCAAGCUCUUUCUCCAAAAUUUUUUCCUUUUGUUGACCGUCAUGUGAAUCCAAUUUUUGGUUGGUCAAUGUCACAUUGUUGCCAGAAACUUCAAUUGGUGCCAAAAAAUUUAAAAUUUUUCUAAAUUUUGACCAUUUUCUAAAUUUCGAUAGUAAAAAAAUUCAAACAAUCAUCGGAUCAAAGUUUUUCAUAUUCUGACAACCUAAAAAAUCUAAAAAAAUUACCAAAUAAUCUUUUCAGCCUUCUAACCCAAUUCCUCAACUAGUUUUUCCCAAAAGAAAUUUUGAAAUAGUCUAGAUUAGUAUUUUGUUUCUGGUUUGAAUUUAGCUAUUACUGAUUCCCCAAAAGAGGAUGUGUUAGAUUUUUUUGUUGAUUUUUUUUUUGUCUUUGUAGGUUUGUGAUUUGGGAAGAUCUAGGCAGUGGUAAUGGAGUUAGGUAAAUUUUUUUUUCUUUUUUGCAUAAUGGCAAUGUGAUUUUUUUGUUAAUUCCUAUCUGUUUGUGUUUUCUAUGAAUUGGCUCUCAACUUCUAGAGCCAAUUUGUCAAUUAUAUCAUAAAUUUGAAAGGAUUGUUGAAUGAUUUUGAGAUUACUUGAAAUUUUGCUAUAAAGUUUUGAGGAUGGCAAUGGUAGGUGGUAUUUGAUGCAUCGAAUGUACAUAGACUUUGGGAAAGAAAGAAAGAAAGAAGAAAGAAGAAAGAAGAAACAAAGAAAAAAAAAGACAAAAGAUAAAAGAAAUAAUAAUAAUAAUAAUAUAAUAAUAAUAAAUGAAAAUAAAUAAAAUUUAAAGAUUUAAUAAAAUUUAAAAUGACCCACUAUGAAAUUAAUCCAAUAAACUCAACUAAAAG
RNAcentral lists this long non-coding RNA (942 nucleotides) under Durio zibethinus. RNAcentral's name for it is "long non-coding RNA (DZIB_LNC000153)". The record is from RNAcentral. Lineage: Eukaryota; Viridiplantae; Streptophyta; Magnoliopsida; Malvales; Malvaceae.